UGAAAAUAAUCCACCAAUGAUUACUUGAUGUUUAGAAAAAAUUUCUAUAAUGACUAGAGUAUUCACCUUGUCACAAGUUGUCUUUGAGAUUUAGUAAAGCAAUCUUCACUCUACCUUGAGGCAACUAAUAUAUAAGUUUUCUUCAUCAAAACACCUUUAGUGCAACCUUAAUACUUUUUUCAACUCAAAAAAAUCAAAAAUUAAACUGCUCCAUCUCCCCCAAUCCGAACCGUUUGGUGUCGAUGAGUGCAUUCAAUGUACGGGUUGGGCUUCACAAGCAAUACUUACAUCCACCUUGAAUGAGAUCUAUGCUCCAAUUAUACCCUACAAGCACAAUCACAAACGUCGGCCGUGGCUUAAAACGACAAAUAAACACUCAUCUUUGAGCCGUCCAUGGAUAUUGCAACCAAUGCUGACACUACAACAUAAGUACACCGUCGCAAGAGUACUCUUCUGCUGCACCAGACCGCUAUACAGGGAAGGUAUGACCAACUGCUAGUUUCAAAAUUGCAACCAGUAGUUUGAUGACCUUGUGCCUCUCCAAUCGCACUGUUGGUCGAGGCUCCCACAUCGCUGCAACUCUUCCUCCUCCAACAAAUGCAACACACCAAGCAACCGCGCCGACUGCGUCAAAAUCGACCCCUUCCAGUAACGGAACAAACAGAAAAAACAGGAAAAAAACAAAGGAGGGCUGAACCACAGUACUCCAAUAGAGCGAAAAAGAAAAACUAGAACAUAUUGAACUUUGGCGAGCCGGAGCUCAUGAGAGUAUGAAAGGAAGAAAAAACGAGAAUAAGGGAGUUGCUGGGUGAUUCUCCGCACACUAUGCAAGAGCGCCUCUUCCUAGUCAUAACAGCCGCACCAUCCAGACCACUGCCACACCACACACAUGUUGAAAAAUUUCCCACAAUCGAAGCCGCAGAUCAAAAUGGAUAACGACGUCCUUCCCUAAACGCCGCCGCAACUACUCACACCGACAUAGAGAUAAAACACCUCCCAAGAGGAGUUUUGCUGCCGUCGGAGCCCGGAACAAUCACACAAAAAAAAAUCAAAAAUCAACAAUCAAAAAA
RNAcentral lists this long non-coding RNA (1070 nucleotides) under Physcomitrium patens. RNAcentral describes it as "long non-coding RNA (PPAT_LNC004491)". The record is from RNAcentral. Lineage: Eukaryota; Viridiplantae; Streptophyta; Bryopsida; Funariales; Funariaceae.